CGCGGGAAGAGCCACAGUCACUUGUCCACACCUUUCCUCUUCAUCCGGACUCAUAACUGCUAGUCUCUGUGCCGGAGUAUCUUUAUUAUCACUUCGGGCUCUCUUCUGGAAUGUUCUAGAAACAUCGGGAGAGAAGUCGCCGGUUCGUUCUGCGCUUUCUAUAUCAGCGAUUUCGUCAGGGUUUCUCUUAAAAUCAGAGUAGUUGUCGUCGUCGCUGUUACAGAGAUCGAUUACAGAGGUUUUGUUUCCGUUCCCAGCGGGUUUUGAAGCCGGGAUAGUAGCACUUGGUAGAUUCUCUUGCUUUACGCGAAUAUCCAUUGGGAAAAGGAGCAGCCGAAGAAAAACCGAAGAAGUUGAAGGAAAAGUUGCAGAAGCGAUGACGAAAGAAAAGAGAAACCAGACUGCAAAAAAAAAGAAAAAAAAAUUGGGGAAAGAGAAAAGUAGUUAAAAAGGUUUCCCCGCCUCUGUUGACUCCUACAUGAACUUGCAGCUUGGAAACACUGAAGAAUACAUCGAAGGACAGUUGAUAGGGAACCUUCGAGAGAUUUUGAUCAGGUACAUGCAUCUGCGGAUUUACAGUCUGAUAUAACAUUGUUGAUUAUUUCCGUAAACUUGUGGAAGGUCAACAAAUUGAGAGGCCAAUGGGGG
This is a long non-coding RNA of Brassica napus (rape), 648 nucleotides long. RefSeq lists it as uncharacterized. The transcript has 4 exons. The record is from RefSeq and is a predicted model, not a curated record. NCBI's taxonomy places the organism in Eukaryota, Viridiplantae, Streptophyta, Magnoliopsida, Brassicales, Brassicaceae.